RNAcentral lists this long non-coding RNA (814 nucleotides) under Ovis aries (sheep). RNAcentral describes it as "lncRNA (ENSOARG00000026841.1)". The record is from RNAcentral. Lineage: Eukaryota; Metazoa; Chordata; Mammalia; Artiodactyla; Bovidae.
AAGUUAUGUAGAACACUCUUUAAAUUGUAAUUAGCUACAUUUUCAUAUCUUCACAGUAAUACAAAACACAGUCACUUGCAGAACUGGUUCAGAUUACUUAAAUACCAGAUACAUUUUUAGUCGUCUACAUAAGUGUUUGGAAGUUACUUAUGUUUGUAUGAAAUGAAGCUAUUAAUACUUUUCUACAGCAGUAACUGCACACCAGGAAGGCUAAGACAAACACAAACCAAGGAAUGGAGUAUUCCCAAAGCUGCAGUGUGAAAAGACUCUAAACAGUUGAUUCCAUACACAUGAAUGGGUUUCUGUGCUAUAGGAAAUCCAAAUGGAGUGAGGAAUGCAGAUGACUAUAAAGGUUUCAAGGGGAAGAAAGAUGGCACCCUGUACGCACUUCGUUUUCGGCCCCUUCUGCCGCAUCACAUUCUUAGCACUAUCCGAUGUCCAUAAUGUGAGGUUGUCUCUCAGCAGCUGCAUGAUGAGGGUGCUGUCUUUGUACGAGUCUUCCUUCAUUCAAUGUGUCGAGUUCUGCAAUAGCCUCAUCAAAAGCCGUUUUAGCCCGUGUGCAGGCCAGUUCCAGGUUAUUGAGGAUCUCAUAUUAGAGCACAGAAAAGUUAAGAGCCAGCCCCAGCCAGAUGGGGUGUGUGGGCUGCCUCUCUUUCUUGCUUAUGUCGAAAGCCUCUUGGUAAGCUCCUCGGGAAUUAUCUAUCGUUUGCUUCUGAUCAUCACCACAAGCAACUUCAGCAAGGUACCAGAAGUAACCUCCCUUCAUUUUCAGAUAGGAGACCUUACUCUCUGGAUUAGUUGCAUUGGCUAUUAA